GCAGCUUAUUCCUGAGGCAUCCAUGGAGGGCAGGUUGGGAAGACAUUCUGAGCAGCUGAGAAUUAAUUGAGCACAAAUGAAUGCACAGAGGACAUCAGAACAGGAUGCUUGUGGAAGAAAGGUAGUAUUACACAUCCUCCUGCUUCCUAAGCAGAGAGAACGCCACCCCCAGCUUUGUCUACAAGGAAAUCUAGAGCUGCCACUUAGGACAGGCAUCUCCACACAGUUGAGGGGCUGCAGUUUAGAGGAAGAAAUGGAGCUGACUGGUGUGGCUCAGAUUUGACAUUUCAACAAACAGGUCGAAUGUUCGAGGAAGCAGUUUUGGCUCUUUCUACAGGCUGAGGAGUUCAGCAAAUCACAUCGCUGGGGCGCGUAGACACAUAGAGUGUUGAAUAUGGUUGGACAUGCACUUCACACUUUAUCAGUCACAUCUGAAUAUGUUUGAAAACUUCGCCCACGCAGAGCCAAUGUUCAUGGAAAAGAAAUUCAUUUAGGGAGUGUGAUCUCCUUUAAGCAGAGUAUUUCAUUGUUUCUAAGGCCUGGGAAUGAACUACAAGUGACCUCCAUGUUCCUGUAGACAGUCAGAACUCUCAAAAGGUUUUUGAAUAAUAUAUGAAAGAACUUCACGGCUCGCCUCAUUUGUACCACAGGUGGUUUGGUGGUUGUGUUGAUGAUAAUGACUCUUUUAUAAAUGCCUUGAACAUGCACGUGUGUGUGUGUGUGUGUGUGUGUGUGUGUGUGUGUGCAUACAAAGCAGUGGAUGAAUUUCUGUUUUACUUAACUGCUUGGAAAAAUUUUGUCACAACUUAUGAAAAGAUACACUUUCUCUUAUUCUGGUAUUCUGAUAACGACAGUGAGGUUAUAUUCUGUAGCAAUUGUCUGUGAAUAAAAUUUUGUUAAGAUUAUUCAGUUUUCCUUUUUCUCCAAAGGCUUUUGGGUAGAAAAAUUCCUAUUGGACAUUUUUCAGAAGUUGAAUGCAUAAAUAAGCCAAAUAAAUAAUGAAAGCAUAAAUCACAUAUAAAAUGUUCUACUCAGCUGGUCUCUUAGAACUCCAAGUUUUAAGUUGGAUGGCUUUACUGGACUGUUACCUAUUACAGUUGCCUAAAGGAAUUGAAAAGGUUGGUAUGUAAUUCAAAUGCACUAUGUCUCAGUUUAACAACAGUAAAAUAGGACAAUAAUAUCUGUACUCUCCAUACUGUAUAAAAUAUUGUCAAAGUCAAUAAGUAUAUGUUUAAAAUCCCAUAUUAUACAUACAACUUUUAUUAUACAUUUUCUUCUACAGGGUAAAAAUAAACUUCCUUGUUUCCUGAAAAAA
Phyllostomus hastatus (greater spear-nosed bat) is the source of this 1315-nucleotide long non-coding RNA. RefSeq lists it as uncharacterized. The transcript has 2 exons. NCBI's taxonomy places the organism in Eukaryota, Metazoa, Chordata, Mammalia, Chiroptera, Phyllostomidae. The record is from RefSeq and is a predicted model, not a curated record.